Small nucleolar RNA from Phycomyces blakesleeanus NRRL 1555(-), 214 nucleotides. It matches the Rfam family "Small nucleolar RNA U3". Rfam says of the family: Small nucleolar RNAs (snoRNAs) are involved in the processing and modification of rRNA in the nucleolus. There are two main classes of snoRNAs: the box C/D class, and the box H/ACA class. The record is from Rfam. NCBI's taxonomy places the organism in Eukaryota, Fungi, Mucoromycota, Mucoromycetes, Mucorales, Phycomycetaceae.
GUGACCGUACUCUACAGGAUCUGUAUGCAGUACAUAACCGUUCUACGUUUUUCAAACUAGACACAAUAUUCAAGUUAGUAGAUGAAUACUAGCAGACCUUCUAAAGAGUGAAGUGUGUUGAUUGUUUUUUCUUCGGAAUUUACUUUCAGCAGUUGAUGAUCUCGUCUGUCUCUAUUCCAGGGCAUGACAUGGAAGGAGCUGUUUUCUGAUAACU